This 908-nucleotide ribosomal RNA is filed under the name uncultured bacterium. RNAcentral describes it as "bacterial SSU rRNA". It matches the Rfam family "Bacterial small subunit ribosomal RNA", at positions 33 to 930 of the family's 1533-position model. The record is from RNAcentral.
ACGCUGGCGGCAUGCUUUACACAUGCAAGUCGGACGGCAGCACAGAGAAGCUUGCUUCUUGGGUGGCGAGUGGCGAACGGGUGAGUAACAUAUCGGAACGUACCGAGUAAUGGGGGAUAACUAAUCGAAAGAUUAGCUAAUACCGCAUAUUCUCUGAGGAGGAAAGCAGGGGACCUUCGGGCCUUGCGUUAUUCGAGCGGCCGAUAUCUGAUUAGCUAGUUGGUGGGGUAAAGGCCUACCAAGGCGACGAUCAGUAGCGGGUCUGAGAGGAUGAUCCGCCACACUGGGACUGAGACACGGCCCAGACUCCUACGGGAGGCAGCAGUGGGGAAUUUUGGACAAUGGGCGCAAGCCUGAUCCAGCCAUGCCGCGUGUCUGAAGAAGGCCUUCGGGUUGUAAAGGACUUUUGUCAGGGAAGAAAAGGCUGUUGCUAAUACCGACAGUUGAUGACGGUACCUGAAGAAUAAGCACCGGCUAACUACGUGCCAGCAGCCGCGGUAAUACGUAGGGUGCGAGCGUUAAUCGGAAUUACUGGGCGUAAAGCGAGCGCAGACGGUUACUAAAGCAGGAUGUGAAAUCCCCGGGCUCAACCUGGGAACUGCGUUCUGAACUGGGUGACUAGAGUGUGUCAGAGGGAGGUAGAAUUCCACGUGUAGCAGUGAAAUGCGUAGAGAUGUGGAGGAAUACCGAUGGCGAAGGCAGCCUCCUGGGAUAACACUGACGUUCAUGCUCGAAAGCGUGGGUAGCAAACAGGAUUAGAUACCCUGGUAGUCCACGCCCUAAACGAUGUCAAUUAGCUGUUGGGCAACUUGAUUGCUUAGUAGCGUAGCUAACGCGUGAAAUUGACCGCCUGGGGAGUACGGUCGCAAGAUUAAAACUCAAAGGAAUUGACGGGGACCCGCACAAGC